UACGUAGGUGGCAAGCGUUGUCCGGAUUCAUUGGGCGUAAAGGGUGCGUAGGCGGCGCGGUAAGUCGGAUGUGAAAUCUCGGAGCUUAACUCCGAAACUGCAUUCGAUACUGCCGUGCUUGAGGACUGGAGAGGAGACUGGAAUUUACGGUGUAGCGGUGAAAUGCGUAGAUAUCGUAAGGAAGACCAGUGGCGAAGGCGGGUCUCUGGACAGUUCCUGACGCUGAGGCACGAAGGCCAGGGGAGCAAACGGG
This 253-nucleotide ribosomal RNA is filed under the name uncultured bacterium. Its description in RNAcentral is "partial 16S ribosomal RNA". It matches the Rfam family "Bacterial small subunit ribosomal RNA", at positions 524 to 776 of the family's 1533-position model. The record is from RNAcentral.